This 49-nucleotide transfer RNA is filed under the name Taxiphyllum wissgrillii. RNAcentral's name for it is "partial tRNA-Phe". It matches the Rfam family "tRNA", at positions 1 to 48 of the family's 71-position model. Rfam says of the family: Transfer RNA (tRNA) molecules are approximately 80 nucleotides in length. Lineage: Eukaryota; Viridiplantae; Streptophyta; Bryopsida; Hypnales; Taxiphyllaceae. RNAcentral also lists the same sequence under 1 other name. The record is from RNAcentral.
GCCGGGAUAGCUCAGUUGGUAGAGCAGAGGACUGAAAAUCCUCGUGUCC